UACGAAGGGGGCUAGCGUUGCUCGGAAUCACUGGGCGUAAAGGGUGCGUAGGCGGGUCUUUAAGUCAGGGGUGAAAUCCUGGAGCGCAACUCCAGAACUGCCUUUGAUACUGAGGAUCUUGAGUUCGGGAGAGGUGAGUGGAACUGCGAGUGUAGAGGUGAAAUUCGUAGAUAUUCGGAAGAACACCAGUGGCGAAGGCGACUCACUGGACACGUAUUGACGCUGAGGUGCGAAAGCGUGGGGAGCAAACAGG
Molecule: ribosomal RNA, 253 nt
Filed under: uncultured bacterium
Lineage: Bacteria
Description: partial 16S ribosomal RNA
Rfam family: Bacterial small subunit ribosomal RNA
Source: RNAcentral